RNAcentral lists this ribosomal RNA (421 nucleotides) under uncultured bacterium. Its description in RNAcentral is "partial 16S ribosomal RNA". It matches the Rfam family "Bacterial small subunit ribosomal RNA", at positions 360 to 773 of the family's 1533-position model. The record is from RNAcentral.
AAUAUUUCGCAAUGGAGGAAACUCUGACGCAGCGACGCCGCGUGAGCGAUGAAUGUCUUCGGAUCGUAAAGCACUUUUGGCAGGGAAGAAAAGGCGCGGGUUAAUACCCUGUGCCGCUGACGGUACCUGCAGAAUAAGCACCGGCUAACUACGUGCCAGCAGCCGCGGUAAUACGUAGGGUGCAAGCGUUAAUCGGAAUUACUGGGCGUAAAGCGUGCGUCGGCGGUUUGGCAAGAAAGGUGUGAAAUCCCAGGGCUUAACCUUGGAACUGCACUUUUAACUGCCAGGCUAGAGUAUGUCAGAGGGGGGUAGAAUUCCGCGUGUAGCAGUGAAAUGCGUAGAGAUGCGGAGGAAUACCGAUGGCGAAGGCAGCCCCCUGGGAUAAUACUGACGCUCAGGCACGAAAGCGUGGGGAGCAAAC